AUAAAAACUGUGAAAAGAACAAGUAGAAAUAUCUAAGCUUAACAGAAAGUUGCCGGUUGAUGAGAGGCGCAAAGACAUUUAUUUUCGAAUACAUCUUGGAGUUAUUCAUUGAACUCUAUUAUUAUAAUAGAUAUUAGAUGUUAUCGGCUGAGUACCGUUAAAAACUUUUAAUGAGGUCAAAUAUUUACGGAUGUUUAUAUUUGAUAAAUUAAGGUGGUACCACGUGAGCAAUCUCGUCCUUAUU
This 244-nucleotide non-coding RNA is filed under the name Clostridium baratii. RNAcentral's name for it is "T-box sequence". It matches the Rfam family "T-box leader". Rfam says of the family: Uncharged tRNA acts as the effector for transcription antitermination of genes in the T-box leader family. Lineage: Bacteria; Bacillati; Bacillota; Clostridia; Eubacteriales; Clostridiaceae. The record is from RNAcentral.